This 1323-nucleotide ribosomal RNA is filed under the name metagenome. Its description in RNAcentral is "bacterial SSU rRNA". It matches the Rfam family "Bacterial small subunit ribosomal RNA", at positions 184 to 1498 of the family's 1533-position model. The record is from RNAcentral.
UGACACGUGUCAUUUAUUUGAAAGGGGCAAUUGCUCCACUACAAGAUGGACCUGCGUUGUAUUAGCUAGUAGGUGAGGUAAUGGCUCACCUAGGCGACGAUACAUAGCCGACCUGAGAGGGUGAUCGGCCACACUGGGACUGAGACACGGCCCAGACUCCUACGGGAGGCAGCAGUAGGGAAUCUUCGGCAAUGGGGGCAACCCUGACCGAGCAACGCCGCGUGAGUGAAGAAGGUUUUCGGAUCGUAAAGCUCUGUUGUAAGUCAAGAACGGGUGUGAGAGUGGAAAGUUCACACUGUGACGGUAGCUUACCAGAAAGGGACGGCUAACUACGUGCCAGCAGCCGCGGUAAUACGUAGGUCCCGAGCGUUGUCCGGAUUUAUUGGGCGUAAAGCGAGCGCAGGCGGUUUGAUAAGUCUGAAGUUAAAGGCUGUGGCUCAACCAUAGUUCGCUUUGGAAACUGUCAAACUUGAGUGCAGAAGGGGAGAGUGGAAUUCCAUGUGUAGCGGUGAAAUGCGUAGAUAUAUGGAGGAACACCGGUGGCGAAAGCGGCUCUCUGUCUGUAACUGACGCUGAGGCUCGAAAGCGUGGGGAGCGAACAGGAUUAGAUACCCUGGUAGUCCACGCCGUAAACGAUGAGUGCUAGGUGUUGGAUCCUUUCCGGGAUUCAGUGCCGCAGCUAACGCAUUAAGCACUCCGCCUGGGGAGUACGACCGCAAGGUUGAAACUCAAAGGAAUUGGCGGGGGCCCGCACAAGCGGUGGAGCAUGUGGUUUAAUUCGAAGCAACGCGAAGAACCUUACCAGGUCUUGACAUCCCGAUGCUAUUUCUAGAGAUAGAAAGUUACUUCGGUACAUCGGUGACAGGUGGUGCAUGGUUGUCGUCAGCUCGUGUCGUGAGAUGUUGGGUUAAGUCCCGCAACGAGCGCAACCCCUAUUGUUAGUUGCCAUCAUUCAGUUGGGCACUCUAGCGAGACUGCCGGUAAUAAACCGGAGGAAGGUGGGGAUGACGUCAAAUCAUCAUGCCCCUUAUGACCUGGGCUACACACGUGCUACAAUGGUUGGUACAACGAGUUGCGAGUCGGUGACGGUGAGCUAAUCUCUUAAAGCCAAUCUCAGUUCGGAUUGUAGGCUGCAACUCGCCUACAUGAAGUCGGAAUCGCUAGUAUCGCGGAUCAGCACGCCGCGGUGAAUACGUUCCCGGGCCUUGUACACACCGCCCGUCACACCACGGGAGUUUGUAACACCCGAAGUCGGUGAGGUAACCUUUUGGAGCCAGCCGCCCAAGGUGGGACAGAUGAUUGGGGUGAAGUCGUAACAAGGUA